CGUUUGGCACCUCGAUGUCGGCUCAUCACAUCCUGGAGCUGUAGGCGGUUCCAAGGGUUGGACUGUUCGUCCAUUAAAGUGGUACGCGAGCUGGGUUUAAAACGUCGUGAGACAGUUUGGUCCCUAUCUACCGUGAGGUUUGAGAAUUGCGAGUGAUUCCCUACUUAGUACGAGAGGACUGGUGUUUGUGACUAUAAAACGUAGUCUUUUGCGGUGCAGUUAUCAAAAACGGUUAAGGGGUAUACCUAUGGUGGUCCGGUUGUUAGGCAAAUAGCAGCGCCGGUUAGCUACGUAUAAGAAUUAAUAAUUGCUGAAUACAUCAAUGCAAGAAGUAAUCCUCAAUAUACAUUCUCAAAAAACUGUAAAACGUUAUUACGUAUAUAGGUAAAAUGUGUUAGCUUUGAAAGAAGUAGAGCUGUUUUAUACUAAAAGUUUUUUUUAAAAAGAA
RNAcentral lists this ribosomal RNA (448 nucleotides) under Chitinophagales bacterium. RNAcentral's name for it is "partial 23S ribosomal RNA". It matches the Rfam family "Bacterial large subunit ribosomal RNA", at positions 2515 to 2925 of the family's 2925-position model. The record is from RNAcentral. Lineage: Bacteria; Pseudomonadati; Bacteroidota; Chitinophagia; Chitinophagales.